UGGAGCAGCUUCUGGAGCAGACCAAGGCAUGGGAGCUUUGCCCAGUCCCUACACAGGUCACUGUGCAGGACACCAGUGUGGCAGGAGCAUGUCCCUGGCCCUGGGCCUGUCUUCAAGGACCAAAUAGUAAAAUUCCCAGGAGCAGGAUGCAAACCCAGUGAACUUCUGAAGACAUUUCCUCACACAGUGUCCUGGACCAAGAGUCACUUUGAACUUAAAAAAUUGAAGAACAAGUGGUUGAUGCAGCUAUUCGUCUCUCAUGUGGUCCAUGUAGCUUAUUUUCACUCCUUCUGGAUGUCCACCAGGAGAGAAUAUGGCUCAUGCCUUUUGUAAAGCUCUGAUGAUGUAAAAAAAGAUCAGUGAUGGUUUCAGCUGCACAUCCCUCUCCUGAGCAGGACUCGUGUGUUCUGGACAACCAUUGCUGUGCUCAGCAGCUAAGCCUGUGUACAGAGCUAAUCACAGAAAAAAGCUACACCAUCUCUUUGGGGAUAAUUGAAAAUGUGAGCUCUCUAUUUCCUGACCAUCCCAAAGCAGGUGAAGAUCAGGAUAUGCACUGAGAUGCUGAAAGGACAGGCCAUGUCACCAUUAGUCAUACUUCGGAAUGAUGGUUUACUUUCAUUAUUCACUGACUGCACUGCUUCCGAUUCAGCGCUCUCCAACUCAGCAAGAUUUUCCUGUGCUAAUUCAUCUGAAUCAUUUCUAGAAGAGUUUAUAUCAAAGGACACAUUCUCAAUGUUAAUAAAGUGCAGAGGUUUUGGAA
Pseudopipra pipra is the source of this 760-nucleotide long non-coding RNA. RefSeq lists it as uncharacterized. Lineage: Eukaryota; Metazoa; Chordata; Aves; Passeriformes; Pipridae. The record is from RefSeq and is a predicted model, not a curated record. The transcript is spliced from 3 exons.